GACGAACGCUGGCGGCGUGCCUAAUACAUGCAAGUAGAACGCACAGUUUAUACCGUAGCUUGCUACACCAUAGACUGUGAGUUGCGAACGGGUGAGUAACGCGUAGGUAACCUGCCUUGUAGCGGGGGAUAACUAUUGGAAACGAUAGCUAAUACCGCAUAAUAUUAAUUAUUGCAUGAUAAUUAAUUGAAAGGUGCAUUUGCACCACUACCAGAUGGACCUGCGUUGUAUUAGCUAGUAGGUGAGGUAACGGCUGACCUAGGCGACGAUACAUAGCCGACCUGAGAGGGUGAUCGGCCAAACUGGGACUGAGACAAGGCCCAGAAUCCUACGGGAGGGAGCAGGAGGGAAUCUUCGGCAAAGGAGGAAAGGCUGACCGAGCAACGCCGCGUGAGUGAAGAAGGUUUUCGGAUCGUAAAGCUCUGUUGUAAGAGAAGAAAGGGUGUGAGAGUGGAAAGUUCACACUGUGACGGUAUCUUACCAGAAAGGGACGGCUAACUACGUG
This 505-nucleotide ribosomal RNA is filed under the name uncultured bacterium. RNAcentral describes it as "partial 16S ribosomal RNA". It matches the Rfam family "Bacterial small subunit ribosomal RNA", at positions 28 to 507 of the family's 1533-position model. The record is from RNAcentral.